UGUUGGUUAUGUGUGCCCAAGCAUUGAGGCAGUCAAAGUAGGCAAAUACGCUUUGAUAAUGCUGGGAUGUGAUGGGGAGCGAAAUUUAGUAGCGAAGUAGCUGAUUUCACACUGUCAAGAAAAGUCUCUAUCGAGGUUAAAGGUACCCGUACCGCAAACCGACACAGGUGGGUGAGGAGAGUAUCCUAAGGCCAGCGAGAGAACUGUUGUUAAGGAACUCGGCAAAAUGACCCCGUAACUUAGGGAUAAGGGGUGCCACCAUCAGGUGGCCGCAGAGAAUAGGCCCAAGCGACUGUUUACCAAAAACAUAGGUUUCUGCUAAGUCGCAAGACGAUGUAUAGGAGCUGACGCCUGCCCGGUGCUGGAAGGUUAAGGGGAUCUGUUAGAGCAAUCGAAGCAGUGAACUUAAGCCCCAGUAAACGGCGGCCGUAACUAUAACGGUCCUAAGGUAGCGAAAUUCCUUGUCGGGUAAGUUCCGACCCGCACGAAAGGCGUAACGAUUUGGGCACUGUCUCAACAACAGACUCGGUGAAAUUGUAAUUCCGGUGAAGAUGCCGGAUACCUGCGACAGGACGGAAAGACCCCAUGGAGCUUUACUGUAGCUUGACAUUGGGUCUUGGUACUACAUGUACAGGAUAGGUGGGAGGCUUUGAAACCAGGACGCCAGUUUUGGCGGAGCCAUCCUUGGGAUACCACCCUUGUA
This 703-nucleotide ribosomal RNA is filed under the name Clostridioides difficile. Its description in RNAcentral is "partial 23S ribosomal RNA". It matches the Rfam family "Bacterial large subunit ribosomal RNA", at positions 1496 to 2210 of the family's 2925-position model. Lineage: Bacteria; Bacillati; Bacillota; Clostridia; Peptostreptococcales; Peptostreptococcaceae. The record is from RNAcentral.